AUCGAUGGAUAGGGGUUCUGAGAGGAAGGUCCCCCACAUUGGAACUGAGACACGGUCCAAACUCCUACGGGAGGCAGCAGUGAGGAAUAUUGGUCAAUGGGCGCUAGCCUGAACCAGCCAAGUAGCGUGAAGGAUGACUGCCCUAUGGGUUGUAAACUUCUUUUAUAUGGGAAUAAAGUGCAGUAUGUAUACUGCUUUGCAUGUACCUUAUGAAUAAGGAUCGGCUAACUCCGUGCCAGCAGCCGCGGUAAUACGGAGGAUCCGAGCGUUAUCCGGAUUUAUUGGGUUUAAAGGGAGCGUAGGCGGGUUGUUAAGUCAGUUGUGAAAGUUUGCGGCUCAACCGUAAAAUUGCAGUUGAUACUGGCAUCCUUGAGUACAGUAGAGGUGGGCGGAAUUCGUGGUGUAGCGGUGAAAUGCUUAGAUAUCACGAAGAACUCCGAUUGCGAAGGCAGCCUGCUGGACUGUAACUGACGCUGAUGCUCGAAAGUGUGGGUAUCAAACAGGAUUAGAUACCCUGGUAGUCCACACA
This 529-nucleotide ribosomal RNA is filed under the name uncultured bacterium. Its description in RNAcentral is "bacterial SSU rRNA". It matches the Rfam family "Bacterial small subunit ribosomal RNA", at positions 275 to 801 of the family's 1533-position model. The record is from RNAcentral.